RNAcentral lists this long non-coding RNA (604 nucleotides) under Mus musculus (house mouse). Its description in RNAcentral is "long non-coding RNA chr5:25450304-25450908". The record is from RNAcentral. Lineage: Eukaryota; Metazoa; Chordata; Mammalia; Rodentia; Muridae.
GUAAGGCCGGAGAGCAGACUGCCUGCCUGAAGAAACUACAAGAGCAAGAAAGAUAUACAGCAAAAAGUGGAGUUUCAUAAAAGGAUGGAGAAAGAGGUGUCUGGUUUCAUCCAGGACAGUGAACAGAUCAAGAAAAAGUUUCAGCCUAUGAACAAGAAAGAGAGAGUGGAGCAUACUACAUGAUGUGGUAGAGGUAGCUGGCCUCACAUCCUUCUCCUUUGGAGAAGAUGAUGACUGUCACUAUACCAUGAUCUUCAAAAAAGGGUUUGCACCCUCAGAUGAAGGGCUAGACUGCUACCGUCAUAGAGAGGCAUGGGACCCCCCCAGAAGGCUGAGGAGAAGCAGAAGCUAAGGAGUUAGCUCAGAAGCAGGAGGAAGAUGCAGCGCAGCAGGGAACCACGGUUGUGAGUCUUCCAGCAACUACAGGACAAGUAUUGGCAAAGGAGCAGCCAAAGAUGCAGCCUACAUGCUACAGGCCAACAAGACCUAUGGCUGUGUGCCUGUGGCCAACAAGUGGGACACAUGCUCCAUAGAAGAGGCCAUGAAUGAGAUCAGAGCCAAAUAAUGUCUGCAGCAGAGUGGGGAAGAGUUGUCAACUACCUCC